AUUGAACGCUGGCGGCAUGCUUUACACAUGCAAGUCGAACGGCAGCGCGGGCUUCGGCCUGGCGGCGAGUGGCGAACGGGUGAGUAAUGCAUCGGAACGUGCCCAGUAGUGGGGGAUAGCCCGGCGAAAGCCGGAUUAAUACCGCAUACGACCUGAGGGUGAAAGCGGGGGACCGAAAGGCCUCGCGCUAUUGGAGCGGCCGAUGUCGGAUUAGCUAGUUGGUGGGGUAAAGGCUUACCAAGGCGACGAUCCGUAGCUGGUCUGAGAGGACGACCAGCCACACUGGGACUGAGACACGGCCCAGACUCCUACGGGAGGCAGCAGUGGGGAAUUUUGGACAAUGAGGGCAACCCUGAUCCAGCCAUGCCGCGUGCGGGAAGAAGGCCUUCGGGUUGUAAACCGCUUUUGUUCGGGAAGAAAUCCUCUGGGCUAAUACCCCGGGGGGAUGACGGUACCGGAAGAAUAAGCACCGGCUAACUACGUG
Molecule: ribosomal RNA, 484 nt
Filed under: uncultured bacterium
Lineage: Bacteria
Description: partial 16S ribosomal RNA
Rfam family: Bacterial small subunit ribosomal RNA
Source: RNAcentral